GGGUCAGUAGGUUGGUCGUGCCACCGGUACGUACUGGUCUCACUGAUUCCUCCUUCCUGAAGAACCGUAAUGCCAUUAAUUUGGUGUUGCGGGGAAACAGGGCUGUUACUUUGAAAAAAUUAGAGUGUUUAAAGCAGGCUAACGCUUGAAUACAUUAGCAUGGAAUAAUGAAAUAGGACGAUCGAUCCUAUUUUGUUGGUUUCUAGGAUUGACGUG
Molecule: ribosomal RNA, 216 nt
Filed under: Glomeromycotina sp.
Lineage: Eukaryota; Fungi; Glomeromycota
Description: partial small subunit ribosomal RNA
Rfam family: Eukaryotic small subunit ribosomal RNA (bases 40-216)
Source: RNAcentral